This 535-nucleotide ribosomal RNA is filed under the name uncultured Actinomycetes bacterium. RNAcentral's name for it is "bacterial SSU rRNA". It matches the Rfam family "Bacterial small subunit ribosomal RNA", at positions 805 to 1339 of the family's 1533-position model. The record is from RNAcentral. Lineage: Bacteria; Bacillati; Actinomycetota; Actinomycetes.
AACGGUGGGUACUAGGUGUGGGUUUCCUUCCUUGGGAUCCGUGCCGUAGCUAACGCAUUAAGUACCCCGCCUGGGGAGUACGGCCGCAAGGCUAAAACUCAAAGAAAUUGACGGGGGCCCGCACAAGCGGCGGAGCAUGUGGAUUAAUUCGAUGCAACGCGAAGAACCUUACCUGGGUUUGACAUGCACAGGACGGCGGCAGAGAUGUCGUUUCCCUUGUGGCCUGUGUGCAGGUGGUGCAUGGCUGUCGUCAGCUCGUGUCGUGAGAUGUUGGGUUAAGUCCCGCAACGAGCGCAACCCUUAUUUCAUGUUGCCAGCGCGUUAUGGCGGGGACUCGUGAGAGACUGCCGGGGUCAACUCGGAGGAAGGUGGGGAUGACGUCAAGUCAUCAUGCCCCUUAUGUCCAGGGCUUCACACAUGCUACAAUGGCCGGUACAAAGGGCUGCGAUGCCGCGAGGCUUAGCGAAUCCUUUAAAGCCGGUCUCAGUUCGGAUCGGGGUCUGCAACUCGACCCCGUGAAGUCGGAGUCGCUAGU